AUGGCCUUCUCGCGCCUUCUCCCCUCCCGCCGCCUCCUCUCCGCCUUCCUCCACACCCCGACCCCGAUCCCCGCCGCGCGCGCCACCGGCCCCGCCGCCGCAACCACCUCCCCGUUCGCCCAAACCCUCCAGCCCGCGCGCUUCUUCUCCGCGACGAGGCGGGCCGGGCCGGGCGCCCCGCGGCAGCGCGCGGCGGACAUCGGCGCGCGGGCGCGGCAGCUGCAGAGCCGGCGCCUCUGGACCUACGCGCUCACCUUCGGCUGCGCGGCCGGGUUCGUGGUCACCGUGCUCGCCACGUUCCAGGACCAGCUCGUCUUCUACCUCACCCCCACCGACGCGCUCGCGCGCUUCGCCACCGACCCCUCCAAGACCCGCUGCCGCCUCGGCGGGCUCGUCCUCGAGGGCUCCGUCGCCCACCCCUCCUCCUCCUCCUCCGAGAUCGAGUUCGUCGUCACCGACCUCGUCACCGACGUCCUCGUCCGCUACGAGGGCGCCCUCCCCGACCUCUUCCGCGAGGGCCACUCCGUCGUCGUCGAGGGGUUCCUCAAGCCACUCACGGACGAUCUCCGCCGCGACUGGGCGGGGAGAAAGGUCUCCGAUAAGGCGCUGGAGGGCCAGUGCUUCUUGCGUGGCACGGAGGUGCUCGCCAAGCACGACGAGAAGUACAUGCCCAAGGAGGUCGGCGAGGCGAUCGAGCGCAACAAGAAGCAGAUCGAGGCGGAUGCGGCUGCCGCCGCCGCUGAGGAGAACGCGGCGGUUGCGGUGGAUGGAGCCAAAGCAAACUCGUAA
RNAcentral lists this ribosomal RNA (789 nucleotides) under Triticum aestivum (bread wheat). Its description in RNAcentral is "partial small subunit ribosomal RNA". Lineage: Eukaryota; Viridiplantae; Streptophyta; Magnoliopsida; Poales; Poaceae. The record is from RNAcentral.